GUAGUCCACGCCGUAAACGAUGAAUGCUAGACGUUGGCGAGCAUGCUUGUCAGUGUCGAAGCUAACGCAUUAAUCAUUCCUGAUGGGGAGUACGGUCGCAAGACUAAAACUCAAAGGAAUUGACGGGGGCCCGCACAAGCGGUGGAGCAUGUGGUUUAAUUGGAAGCAACGCGCAGAACCUUACCAACCCAUGACAUGGGACGUAUGGGCUUGAGAGAUCGGGUCCUUCAGUUCGGCUGGCGUCCACACAGGUGCAGCAUGGCCGUAGUCAGCUCGUGCCGUGAGGUGUUGGGUUAAGUCCCGCAACGAGCGCAACCCUUAUCUUUAGUUGCCAGCACGUCAUGGUGGGGACUUUAAAGGGCCUGCUUGCGCAAGCAGAGAGGAAGGAGGGGAUGACGUCAGGUCAUCAUGGCCCUUACGUCCAGGGCUACACCCGUGCUACAAUGGCGUAUACAAAGUGUUGCAAGCCAGCGAUGGUGAUCCAAUCACAAAAAGUACGUGUCAGUUCGGAUUGCAGGCUGCAACUCGCCUGCAUGAAGUUGGAAUCGCUAGUAAUCGCGCAUCAGCAAUGGCGCGGAG
Molecule: ribosomal RNA, 579 nt
Filed under: uncultured Acetobacteraceae bacterium
Lineage: Bacteria; Pseudomonadati; Pseudomonadota; Alphaproteobacteria; Acetobacterales; Acetobacteraceae
Description: bacterial SSU rRNA
Rfam family: Bacterial small subunit ribosomal RNA
Source: RNAcentral